RNAcentral lists this long non-coding RNA (284 nucleotides) under Phoenix dactylifera (date palm). Its description in RNAcentral is "long non-coding RNA (PDAC_LNC015820)". Lineage: Eukaryota; Viridiplantae; Streptophyta; Magnoliopsida; Arecales; Arecaceae. The record is from RNAcentral.
UCGAAAGGAAUCAAGAAUCGAUCGAUCCGAACGCCGAAUCAAAAUCCUUGGGAUCAAAGACAGCAAGGGGGUAAAGGACGAGCCGGACGAAACCCUAGAAUCGAGAGAAAGAAGAGGAUGACGGACGGAUGGGCACCCUCGAUUGGUAGAUAUUAUAUAGAAUUUUAUUUAAUAGUUUAAUAUAUUUAACAAUGUCGGUUUCAGGUGGGUCGGGUUCCCAGGCACCUCAACCCAUGCCCGACCCGAAAUUUUCAUCGGUUUUGAAUUCUCUACCCUGGGCCGGU